UACAGAGGGGGCAAGCGUUGUUCGGAAUUACUGGGCGUAAAGAGCUCGUAGGUGGUUUGUCGCGUUGUUCGUGAAAACUCACAGCUUAACUGUGGGCGUGCGGGCGAUACGGGCAGACUGGAGUACUGCAGGGGAGACUGGAAUUCCUGGUGUAGCGGUGAAAUGCGUAGAUAUCUGGAGGAAUACCGGUGGCGAAGGCGGCAUCCUGGACCAUUACUGACACUGAUCCGCGAAAGCUAGGGGAGCAAACGGG
Molecule: ribosomal RNA, 253 nt
Filed under: uncultured bacterium
Lineage: Bacteria
Description: partial 16S ribosomal RNA
Rfam family: Bacterial small subunit ribosomal RNA
Source: RNAcentral